UGGGGAAUUUUGGACAAUGGGCGAAAGCCUGAUCCAGCAAUGCCGCGUGUGUGAAGAAGGCCUUCGGGUUGUAAAGCACUUUUGUCCGGAAAGAAAUCCUUGGCUCUAAUACAGUCGGGGGAUGACGGUACCGGAAGAAUAAGCACCGGCUAACUACGUGCCAGCAGCCGCGGUAAUACGUAGGGUGCAAGCGUUAAUCGGAAUUACUGGGCGUAAAGCGUGCGCAGGCGGUUUGCUAAGACCGAUGUGAAAUCCCCGGGCUCAACCUGGGAACUGCAUUGGUGACUGGCAGGCUAGAGUAUGGCAGGAGGGGGGUAGAAUUCCACGUGUAGCAGUGAAAUGCGUAGAGAUGUGGAGGAAUACCGAUGGCGAAGGCAGCCCCCUGGGCCAAUACUGACGCUCAUGCACGAAAGCGUGGGGAGCAAACAGGAUUAGAUACCCUGGUAGUCCACGCCCUAAAACGAUGUCAACUAGUUGUUGGGGAUUCAUUUCCUUAGUAACGUAGCUAACGCGUGAAGUUGACCGCCUGGGGAGUACGGUCGCAAGAUUAAAACUUAAAUGAAUUGACGGGGUCAUAGCUGUUUCCU
Molecule: ribosomal RNA, 587 nt
Filed under: uncultured bacterium
Lineage: Bacteria
Description: partial 16S ribosomal RNA
Rfam family: Bacterial small subunit ribosomal RNA
Source: RNAcentral